AUCUACGGCCAUGCCACCCUGAACAAGCCCGAUCCCAUCUGAUCUCGGAAGCUAAGCAGGGUCGGGCCUGGUUAGUACUUGGAUGGGAGACCACCUAGGAAAACCAGGUGCUGUAGGUG
RNAcentral lists this ribosomal RNA (119 nucleotides) under Pteropus alecto (black flying fox). Lineage: Eukaryota; Metazoa; Chordata; Mammalia; Chiroptera; Pteropodidae. The record is from RNAcentral.